UACAGAGGGUGCAAGCGUUGUUCGGAAUUAUUGGGCGUAAAGCGCGUGUAGGCGGCUUUGCAAGUCGGGUGUGAAAUCCCUCAGCUCAACUGAGGAAGUGCGCCCGAAACUGCAGAGCUUGAAUACCAGAGAGGAUGGCGGAAUUCCCCAAGUAGAGGUGAAAUUCGUAGAUAUGGGGAGGAACACCGGUGGCGAAGGCGGCCGUCUGGAUGGCUAUUGACGCUGAGACGCGAAAGCAUGGGGAGCAAACAG
This 252-nucleotide ribosomal RNA is filed under the name uncultured bacterium. RNAcentral describes it as "partial 16S ribosomal RNA". It matches the Rfam family "Bacterial small subunit ribosomal RNA", at positions 524 to 775 of the family's 1533-position model. The record is from RNAcentral.